AGAAACUUAGGAUAGCAACCCAAACCGGAGGCCUUCAAAGCCUCAGACAAGAGCUUGAACCUCUUAGUUUCUG
RNAcentral lists this transfer RNA (73 nucleotides) under Athene noctua. RNAcentral's name for it is "tRNA-Trp". It matches the Rfam family "tRNA". Rfam says of the family: Transfer RNA (tRNA) molecules are approximately 80 nucleotides in length. The record is from RNAcentral. Lineage: Eukaryota; Metazoa; Chordata; Aves; Strigiformes; Strigidae.